Molecule: ribosomal RNA, 759 nt
Filed under: uncultured Prevotella sp.
Lineage: Bacteria; Pseudomonadati; Bacteroidota; Bacteroidia; Bacteroidales; Prevotellaceae
Description: bacterial SSU rRNA
Rfam family: Bacterial small subunit ribosomal RNA
Source: RNAcentral
GAUGAACGCUAGCUACAGGCUUAACACAUGCAAGUCGAGGGGCAGCAUGGAAGAAGCUUGCUUCUUCUGAUGGCGACCGGCGCACGGGUGCGUAACGCGUAUCAAACCUGCCUCAUACUCGGGGAUAGCCUUGCGAAAGUAAGAUUAAUACCCGAUGUUGUUAUGUUUCCGCAUGGUGAUAUAACCAAAGAUUUAUCGGUAUGAGAUGGUGAUGCGUCCGAUUAGGUAGUAGGCGGGGUAACGGCCCACCUAGCCAUCGAUCGGUAGGGGUUCUGAGAGGAAGGUCCCCCACACUGGAACUGAGACACGGUCCAGACUCCUACGGGAGGCAGCAGUGAGGAAUAUUGGUCAAUGGACGCAAGUCUGAACCAGCCAAGUAGCGUGCAGGAUGACGGCCCUCCGGGUUGUAAACUGCUUUUAGUUGGGAAUAAAAAGAGGGACGUGUCCCUCAUUGUAUGUACCUUCAGAAAAAGGACCGGCUAAUUCCGUGCCAGCAGCCGCGGUAAUACGGAAGGUCCGGGCGUUAUCCGGAUUUAUUGGGUUUAAAGGGAGCGUAGGCCGUGGAUUAAGCGUGUUGUGAAAUGCAGGUGCUCAACGUCUGCACUGCAGCGCGAACUGGUCCACUUGAGUGUGCGCAACGCAGGCGGAAUUCGUCGUGUAGCGGUGAAAUGCUUAGAUAUGACGAAGAACUCCGAUUGCGAAGGCAGCUUGCGGGAGCACAACUGACGCUGAAGCUCGAAAGUGCGGGUAUCGAACAGG